GACGAACGCUGGCGGCGUGCUUAACACAUGCAAGUCGAACGGAAAGGCCCUGCUUUUGUGGGGUGCUCGAGUGGCGAACGGGUGAGUAACACGUGAGUAACCUGCCCUUGACUUUGGGAUAACUUCAGGAAACUGGGGCUAAUACCGGAUAGGAGCUCCUGCUGCAUGGUGGGGGUUGGAAAGUUUCGGCGGUUGGGGAUGGACUCGCGGCUUAUCAGCUUGUUGGUGGGGUAGUGGCUUACCAAGGCUUUGACGGGUAGCCGGCAUGAGAGGGUGACCGGCCACAUUGGGACUGGGAUACGGCCCAGGCUCCUACGGGAGGCAGCAGGGGGGAAUAUUGCACAAUGGGCGGAAGCCUGAUGCAGCAACGCCGCGUGCGGGAUGACGGCCUUCGGGUUGUAAACCGCUUUCGCCUGUGACGAAGCGUGAGUGACGGUAAUGGGUAAAGAAGCACCGGCUAACUACGUG
Molecule: ribosomal RNA, 468 nt
Filed under: uncultured bacterium
Lineage: Bacteria
Description: partial 16S ribosomal RNA
Rfam family: Bacterial small subunit ribosomal RNA
Source: RNAcentral